RNAcentral lists this unclassified non-coding RNA (253 nucleotides) under plant metagenome. Its description in RNAcentral is "partial contains small subunit ribosomal RNA, internal transcribed spacer 1, and 5.8S ribosomal RNA". The record is from RNAcentral.
UUUCCGUAGGUGAACCUGCGGAAGGAUCAUUACUGAGUUGUGAAUGAAGUUGUUCUGGUCUUUCGGGGCAAGUGAACGCUUCUCUCAAUCCAUCUUACACCUGUGCACCUAUCGGGGAAGACUUGGAUCUAAGUUGGGUCACGACGGCGAUCUACAGUCUCCUCUUUAUACCAAAUAACAGUUUUAGAAAGUCUUUUUUGCUUGAUGCAAACUUAAAUAAAUACAACUUUCAGCAACGGAUCUCUUGGCUCUC